UGAGAUCUUCAGGCCUCCAGAGUAUAGAGUUGAUGAGUCUGGGGUCUCGAGAUUGCAGA
RNAcentral lists this microRNA precursor (59 nucleotides) under Tupaia belangeri chinensis (Chinese tree shrew). RNAcentral's name for it is "Tupaia chinensis (Chinese tree shrew) microRNA tch-mir-9770 precursor". Lineage: Eukaryota; Metazoa; Chordata; Mammalia; Scandentia; Tupaiidae. The record is from miRBase by way of RNAcentral.